CCUACGGGAGGCAGCAGUGGGGAAUUUUGGACAAUGGGCGCAAGCCUGAUCCAGCCAUGCCGCGUGUGGGAAGAAGGCCUUCGGGUUGUAAACCACUUUUGUCAGGGAAGAAACGGCUCUUACUAAUAUUAGGGGCUAAUGACGGUACCUGAAGAAUAAGCACCGGCUAACUACGUGCCAGCAGCCGCGGUAAUACGUAGGGUGCAAGCGUUAAUCGGAAUUACUGGGCGUAAAGCGUGCGCAGGCGGCUUUGCAAGACAGAUGUGAAAUCCCCGGGCUCAACCUGGGAACUGCAUUUGUGACUGCAUGGCUAGAGUACGGUAGAGGGGGAUGGAAUUCCGCGUGUAGCAGUGAAAUGCGUAGAUAUGCGGAGGAACACCGAUGGCGAAGGCAAUCCCCUGGACCUGUACUGACGCUCAUGCACGAAAGCGUGGGGAGCAAACAGGAUUAGAUACCCUGGUAGUCCACGCCCUAAACGAUGUCAACUGGUUGUUGGACGGCUUGCUGUUCAGUACGAAGCUAACGCGUGAAGUUGACCGCCUGGGGGAGGUACGGCCGCGAGUAGUAACGUAAGUAGAGUAGACGGCGUGAGACGUGCCGACGACGACGACGAGGGAGGAGG
Molecule: ribosomal RNA, 622 nt
Filed under: uncultured bacterium
Lineage: Bacteria
Description: bacterial SSU rRNA
Rfam family: Bacterial small subunit ribosomal RNA (bases 1-541)
Source: RNAcentral